This 478-nucleotide long non-coding RNA is filed under the name Mustela putorius furo (domestic ferret). Its description in RNAcentral is "lncRNA (ENSMPUG00000025644.1)". The record is from RNAcentral. Lineage: Eukaryota; Metazoa; Chordata; Mammalia; Carnivora; Mustelidae.
GUGUCAUCUACAUGGUCCGAGAAAAUUGAGAAAAGGAUAUGCCAGCUAUUAUUUAUUGGUCCUGAUCUCAGGGUGAGAUCUUGCUCUUCCAGCCCUACCAAACAUCUUGAGACUGGACUUCUAUUUCAACUCCCUCUCUGCUGGAAAUAUCCUGAAUGCUUCCCGUGCUUCUUACUGGAAUCUGACGGAUACAGAAGAAACAAUACAUCAGGCCCCUCUCCCUGGAAGACAAGCUGGAAGAACAAGAGGACAACAACCCAAGGGUCGUCAUAAAACUGUACAACCCCAACACCAGGGGAAAAUAGUAUAUUAAGUUCCUGGUAUUGCCUCAUGGCCUGUUUAUUUCUUAGAUUUGACUUUUCUUUUCUUUUUAUAAAAUUCUUUCUCAACAUUUUUUUUUUCUUUUUACACACUUACCAUUUCAACGAGAUUCUUAGUACAACAUAUUCCAUAGUAACUUUUUAACUUGAAAAUUUUC